Molecule: long non-coding RNA, 444 nt
Filed under: Homo sapiens (human)
Lineage: Eukaryota; Metazoa; Chordata; Mammalia; Primates; Hominidae
Description: HSALNT0197044
Source: RNAcentral
CUGGGGAAAAGUCCAAUCUCUAGGCUCAUAGAGUCAGUGUUUCCAUAGCCAACCAAGGAUGGCCAGUCCUGGGGGCUGUACCUAAUUAGCAUAGGAUGUCCGGCUGCUGUUGACCACCAAGGUCUCAGAACAGAGCAGCCCUACUGGAGAGGCAGAGAAUAGAGAGAGGAUGAAGUUAUGGGCAGGAGAGUCAACUUUGAGCCCUGUUGCAAUGGUUCUUCUUCUAAGAAAAUGAUGACACCCGGCUUUGUAAAAGAAUUCUUUGCUCCCUGGAAUGUGAUGUACUGGAACAAGAUGCAUUUCCACGUCUGUAACAAAACAAAGAAAAACAAAAACACUUUUAGAGACUGUAAAAUAAUAAAAUUAUCAACUGCAACACCUCAGGGACGGCCCAGAUGCUCCUAUGGCCACGCACCUGCAGCAGGGACCUUCUCCCAGGUCGCC